GUCUUAAUAGUUUAAGUAAAAUAUUAAAUUGCAAAUUUAAAGAUAAAUAAAUAAAAUUUUAAGAUU
Molecule: transfer RNA, 66 nt
Filed under: Dolichovespula kuami
Lineage: Eukaryota; Metazoa; Arthropoda; Insecta; Hymenoptera; Vespidae
Description: tRNA-Cys
Source: RNAcentral